This 84-nucleotide transfer RNA is filed under the name Pirellulaceae bacterium. Its description in RNAcentral is "tRNA-Leu". It matches the Rfam family "tRNA". Rfam says of the family: Transfer RNA (tRNA) molecules are approximately 80 nucleotides in length. Their secondary structure includes four short double-helical elements and three loops (D, anti-codon, and T loops). Further hydrogen bonds mediate the characteristic L-shaped molecular structure. tRNAs have two regions of fundamental functional importance: the anti-codon, which is responsible for specific mRNA codon recognition, and the 3' end, to which the tRNAs corresponding amino acid is attached (by aminoacyl-tRNA synthetases). tRNAs cope with the degeneracy of the genetic code in two manners: having more than one tRNA (with a specific anti-codon) for a particular amino acid; and 'wobble' base-pairing, i.e. permitting non-standard base-pairing at the 3rd anti-codon position. The record is from RNAcentral. Lineage: Bacteria; Pseudomonadati; Planctomycetota; Planctomycetia; Pirellulales; Pirellulaceae.
GCGAGAGUGGCGGAAUUGGCAGACGCGCUGGAUUUAGGAUCCAGUGCCCGAAAGGGCGUGGAGGUUCAAAUCCUCUCUCUCGCA